RNAcentral lists this ribosomal RNA (1047 nucleotides) under Amphisphaeria umbrina. RNAcentral describes it as "eukaryotic LSU rRNA". It matches the Rfam family "Eukaryotic large subunit ribosomal RNA", at positions 311 to 1384 of the family's 3401-position model. The record is from RNAcentral. Lineage: Eukaryota; Fungi; Ascomycota; Sordariomycetes; Amphisphaeriales; Amphisphaeriaceae.
UAAAGCUAAAUAUGGCCAGAGACCGAUAGCGCACAAGUAGAGUGAUCGAAAGAUGAAAAGUACUUUGAAAAGAGGGUUAAAAAGCACGUGAAAUUGUUGAAAGGGAAGCGUUUGUGACCAGACUUUUUCUAGGCGGAUCAUCUGGUGUUCUCACCGGUGCACUUUGCCUAGUCUAGGCCAGCAUCGGUUUCUAUAGGGGGAUAAAAUCAGUGGGAAUGUGGCUCCCUCGGGAGUGUUAUAGCCCGUUGAAUAAUACCCUUACGGGGACCGAGGUUCGCGCUCUGCAAGGAUGCUGGCGUAAUGGUCAUCAACGACCCGUCUUGAAACACGGACCAAGGAGUCGAACAUUUGUGCGAGUGUUUGGGUGUUAAACCCUCACGCGUAAUGAAAGUGAACGGAGGUGAGAGCCCUUACGGGUGCAUCAUCGACCGAUCCUGAAGUUUUCGGAUGGAUUUGAGUAAGAGCAUAACUGUUCGGACCCGAAAGAUGGUGAACUAUGCGUGGAUAGGGNGAAGCCAGAGGAAACUCUGGUGGAGGCUCGCAGCGGUUCUGACGUGCAAAUCGAUCGUCAAAUCUGCGCAUGGGGGCGAAAGACUAAUCGAACCAUCUAGUAGCUGGUUACCGCCGAAGUUUCCCUCAGGAUAGCAGUGUUGUCUUCAGUUUUAUGAGGUAAAGCGAAUGAUUAGGGACUCGGGGGCUAUUUAUUGCCUUCAUCCAUUCUCAAACUUUAAAUAUGUAAGAAGCCCUUGUUACUUAAUUGAACGUGGGCAUUCGAAUGUACCAACACUAGUGGGCCAUUUUUGGUAAGCAGAACUGGCGAUGCGGGAUGAACCGAACGCGAGGUUAAGGUGCCGGAGUGGACGCUCAUCAGACACCACAAAAGGUGUUAGUACAUCUUGACAGCAGGACGGUGGCCAUGGAAGUCGGAAUCCGCUAAGGACUGUGUAACAACUCACCUGCCGAAUGUACUAGCCCUGAAAAUGGAUGGCGCUCAAGCGUCCCACCCAUACCUCGCCUUCAGAGUAGAAACGAUGCCCUGAAGAGUAG